Molecule: transfer RNA, 83 nt
Filed under: Sedimentibacter sp. zth1
Lineage: Bacteria; Bacillati; Bacillota; Tissierellia
Description: tRNA-Leu
Rfam family: tRNA
About the family: Transfer RNA (tRNA) molecules are approximately 80 nucleotides in length.
Source: RNAcentral
GCGGGUAUGGCGGAAUUGGCAGACGCGCUAGACUUAGGAUCUAGUGGGAGACCGUGGGGGUUCAAGUCCCUUUACCCGUACCA